GAUGAAGAACGUAGCGAAAUGCGAUAAGUAAUGUGAAUUGCAGAAUUCAGUGAAUCAUCGAAUCUUGAACGCACAUUGCGCCCGCCAGUAUUCUGGCGGGCAUGCCUGUCCGAGCGUCAUUUCAACCCUCGGGCCCCCCUCUGCGGGCGGCCCGGCGUUGGGGCUCAGGCGCCGUCUCUGCUCGGCGCCUGUCCCCUAAAUGCAGUGGCGGCCUCGCCGCUGCCUCCUCCGCGUAGUAGCACAAACCUCGCGGCUGGAAGGCGGCGCGGCCACGCCGUAAAACCCCCCAACUUUACCAAGGUUGACCUCGGAUCAGGUAGGAAUACCCGCUGAACUUAAGCAUAUCAAUAAGCGGAGGA
This 359-nucleotide unclassified non-coding RNA is filed under the name soil metagenome. RNAcentral describes it as "partial contains 5.8S ribosomal RNA, internal transcribed spacer 2, and large subunit ribosomal RNA". The stretch from base 1 to 119 matches the Rfam family "5.8S ribosomal RNA", at positions 35 to 154 of the family's 154-position model. The record is from RNAcentral.